This 465-nucleotide ribosomal RNA is filed under the name Vreelandella stevensii. RNAcentral describes it as "partial 16S ribosomal RNA". It matches the Rfam family "Bacterial small subunit ribosomal RNA", at positions 338 to 795 of the family's 1533-position model. The record is from RNAcentral. Lineage: Bacteria; Pseudomonadati; Pseudomonadota; Gammaproteobacteria; Oceanospirillales; Halomonadaceae.
CCUACGGGGGGCAGCAGUGGGGAAUAUUGGACAAUGGGGGCAACCCUGAUCCAGCCAUGUCGCGUGUGUGAAGAAGGCCCUCGGGUUGUAAAGCACUUUCAGUGAGGAAGAACGCCUGGUGGUUAAUACCCAUCAGGAAAGACAUCACUCACAGAAGAAGCACCGGCUAACUCCGUGCCAGCAGCCGCGGUAAUACGGAGGGUGCGAGCGUUAAUCGGAAUUACUGGGCGUAAAGCGCGCGUAGGUGGCUUGAUAAGCCGGUUGUGAAAGCCCCGGGCUCAACCUGGGAACGGCAUCCGGAACUGUCAAGCUAGAGUGCAGGAGAGGAAGGUAGAAUUCCCGGUGUAGCGGUGAAAUGCGUAGAGAUCGGGAGGAAUACCAGUGGCGAAGGCGGCCUUCUGGACUGACACUGACACUGAGGUGCGAAAGCGUGGGUAGCAAACAGGAUUAGAUACCCUUGUAGUC